This 423-nucleotide long non-coding RNA is filed under the name Homo sapiens (human). RNAcentral's name for it is "HSALNT0076109". Lineage: Eukaryota; Metazoa; Chordata; Mammalia; Primates; Hominidae. The record is from RNAcentral.
GGCGCAGGCGCACAGGGGACGGUUGCUGGCCCAGGUGCCAGGAGCAGGCCCAGACCACCGACUGGAGAGCCACCCUGAAGACCAUCCGGAACGGCGUUCAUAAGAUAGACACGUACCUGAACGCCGCCUUGGACCUCCUGGGAGGCGAGGACGGUCUCUGCCAGUAUAAAUGCAGUGACGGAUCUAAGCCUUUCCCACGUUAUGGUUAUAAACCCUCCCCACCGAAUGGAUGUGGCUCUCCACUGUUUGGUGUUCAUCUUAACAUUGGUAUCCCUUCCCUGACAAAGUGUUGCAACCAACACGACAGGUGCUAUGAGACCUGUGGCAAAAGCAAGAAUGACUGUGAUGAAGAAUUCCAGUAUUGCCUCUCCAAGAUCUGCCGAGAUGUACAGAAAACACUAGGACUAACUCAGCAUGUUCAGG